CAGUCGCCGCGGUAAUACGAAGGGUGCAAGCGUUAAUCGGAAUUACUGGGCGUAAAGCGUGCGUAGGCGGUUUGUUAAGUCUGUUGUGAAAUCCCCGGGCUCAACCUGUGAAUGGCAAUGGAUACUGGCAAGCUAGAGUGUGUCAGAGGAUGGUGGAAUUCCCGGUGUAGCGGUGAAAUGCGUAGAGAUCGGGAGGGACAUCAGUGGCGAAGGCGGCCAUCUGGGACAACACUGACGCUGAGGCACGAAAGCGUGGGGAGCAAACAGGAUUAGAGACCCCUGUAGUCCCUGUCUCUUAUAC
RNAcentral lists this ribosomal RNA (301 nucleotides) under uncultured bacterium. Its description in RNAcentral is "partial 16S ribosomal RNA". It matches the Rfam family "Bacterial small subunit ribosomal RNA", at positions 509 to 807 of the family's 1533-position model. The record is from RNAcentral.